UUUUCGUGAUUAAAUUCGUUUACUUAUAUUGUAAGUUUGUACCGGUUCAAUAUGACUAUAUUACAUUUGCUGUUUCUUGUAAUCGUUUCUUUUAUUGCAAAAUGCAAUGCAUUCCCAAA
Papilio xuthus (Asian swallowtail) is the source of this 119-nucleotide long non-coding RNA. RefSeq lists it as uncharacterized. The record is from RefSeq and is a predicted model, not a curated record. NCBI's taxonomy places the organism in Eukaryota, Metazoa, Arthropoda, Insecta, Lepidoptera, Papilionidae. The transcript has 2 exons.